Molecule: small RNA, 1584 nt
Filed under: Pongo abelii (Sumatran orangutan)
Lineage: Eukaryota; Metazoa; Chordata; Mammalia; Primates; Hominidae
Description: retained intron
Source: RNAcentral
UGUCUCUACUAAAAAUAUAAAAAUUAGCUAGGCGUGGUGGCGGGCGCCUGUUAUCCCAGCUACUUGGGAGACUGAGGCAGGUAAAUCACUUGAACCUGGGAGGCAGAGUCUGCAGUGAGCCGAGAUGGUGCCACUGCACUCUAGGCCUGGGCGACAGAGUGACUCCAUCUCAAAAAAAAAAAAAAAAAAAGAAACUGAAGAUGCUCAGCAGGUGGGCAGCAUGGCCUCCAGGGGAUAGGAGGUGGUUGGUUGGCUGACAGCAGUGAGGGGAGGAAUAGAGCCUGGAGUAGCCCAAGCAAAGGGGCCUUGAUGCUAGAUAGUGUGUUACUUGAGGAGCUCAUAAGGACCUCCUGUGGCCAGGGCUUCUAUGGGCUGUGGCUUAUGUCUUAUGUGUCAUUCUCCAGGGAAGCGCCGCCGAGCUGCUAUGGACUUCCCUGGAGCCAAAGUCAUUGUUCCCCAGCUGAAGGGCAAGGUGCAGCGGAGGCGUGUGGGGUUGAUGUGUGAGGGGGCCCCCAUGCGGGCACACAGUCCCAUCCUGAACAUGGAGGGUACCAAGAUUGGUAGGUGGACCAGGGAAUCUGGGAAACCCUUGUCUCUUCCCCAGGAGGGUGGGGGCACUGGCAGGGUGGUGCUGAUGCAUGGCUUAUGCUUACCUGACAGGUACUGUGACUAGUGGCUGCCCCUCGCCCUCUCUGAAGAAGAAUGUGGCGAUGGGUUAUGUGCCCUGCGAGUACAGUCGUCCAGGGACAAUGCUGCUGGUAGAGGUGCGGCGGAAGCAGCAGAUGGCUGUAGUCAGCAAGAUGCCCUUUGUGCCCACAAACUACUAUACCCUCAAGUGAAGCUGGCUCAGGGUGGGGCUGUCCCUUCCAGAAGUUUUGCCCCUACAAGGGGUUAGUCAAGAAGCUGAGGCAGAACUCACUGGGGGUGGGCAGUUAAGGUGGAGGCUGAUUCUAAUUGUCUGGCUGAGGGGCCACACCACCUAUUCCCCCCACCUAACUCAUGCCACUCCAGCUUCCUUCAGGACCCUGCUUCUGAGUGACGGACCAGCUCACACAAUGUCUUGUUUCAGUCCAUGAUCCCACUGACCUACUCUUGCCUGCUGGAGGGUAAUGAGAAGCUUUGGUUCUGCCAUCUCUCCCACUCUGCCAGGUGCUGGCUGUGGAGCAAAGGCUCACCUUUGUGGGGAGGAUAAAACCUGCCCAACCUACCUCACCAUGGUUUUUCACAUUGCAAACGGUAAUAACAUGGGCAGUGUGGACUUAGGCUACCCCCUCCAGUUUGCUUUCCGUAAAUGCAAAUUGUCCCUACUGCAAGUCAGGAAUGAUUGCCGACUCACAGUAGGGCUGCUAUGCCUGUGUGUAAACUUGGGGAUGGCUGAGGGAACACAGACUCACUCUUCCGCAUUCCCAAGUUGGUCUAGUGUGCUGCCCAGUAGCAAACCAUGGCAGGCUCACCACCUAUUCUGAGCUCCAGGGCUGUUGUAGGGCAGGGUGGGCUUCCUCCCAGACUUGCCUUACCCUGGGCUGAUCUUUGCCCCUGGUAUGCAUUAAUGGACUCCACUGAAUCCUGAAAAAAAAUUAAACU